GUAGGUGUUAGAGUAUUGAGAGGAGUUCUCCUUAGUACGAGAGGACCGGGAGAGACGCACCUCUGGUGUACCAGUUAUCGUGCCAACGGUAAACGCUGGGUAGCCAAGUGCGGAUGGGAUAACCGCUGAAAGCAUCUAAGUGGGAAGCCCACCUCAAGAUGAGUACUCUUACCAUUUUAAAUGGAUAAGAUCACGGCAAGACUAGCCGUUUGAUAGGCAUCAAGUGUAAGUAUAGUAAUAUAUUCAGCUGAGAUGUACUAACAGAUCGAAGACUUGA
This 277-nucleotide ribosomal RNA is filed under the name Porphyridium aerugineum. RNAcentral describes it as "partial Bacterial large subunit ribosomal RNA". It matches the Rfam family "Bacterial large subunit ribosomal RNA", at positions 2647 to 2925 of the family's 2925-position model. The record is from RNAcentral. Lineage: Eukaryota; Rhodophyta; Bangiophyceae; Porphyridiales; Porphyridiaceae.